GCCUCAGUAACGGCGAGUGAAGCGGCAACAGCUCAAAUUUGAAAUCUGGCGCCCCCCGGCGUCCGAGUUGUAAUUUGUAGAGGAUGCUAUUGGGUUGCCACCGGUCUAAGUUCCUUGGAACAGGACGUCACAGAGGGUGAGAAUCCCGUACGUGACCGGCCAGGCGCUCUCUGUAUAGCUCCUUCGACGAGUCGGGUUGUUUGGGAAUGCAGCCCUAAAUGGGAGGUAAAUUUCUUCUAAAGCUAAAUACCGGCCAGAGACCGAUAGCGCACAAGUAGAGUGAUCGAAAGAUGAAAAGCACUUUGGAAAGAGAGUUAAAAAGCACGUGAAAUUGUUGAAAGGGAAGCGCUUGCCAUCAGUCUCGACGGCGGCUGUUCGGCCUCUCUUCUGAGUGGUUUAUUCAGUCGCCGCCGGGCCAGCAUCAGUUUCGGCGGCCGGACAAAGGCGCGGGGAAUGUAGCUCCCUCGGGAGUGUUAUAGCCCCGCGUGCAAUACGGCCCGCCGGGACUGAGGUCCGCGCUUCGGCUAGGAUGCUGGCGAAAUGGUGGUAAGCGGCCCGUCUUGAAACACGGACCAAGGAGUCUAACAUCUACGCGAGUGUUUGGGUGUCAAACCCGUGCGCGCAAUGAAAGUGAACGGAGGUGGGAACCGCAAGGUGCACCAUCGACCGAUCCUGAUGUCUUCGGAUGGAUUUGAGUAAGAGCGUAGCUGUUGGGACCCGAAAGAUGGUGAACUAUGCCUGAAUAGGGUGAAGCCAGAGGAAACUCUGGUGGAGGCUCGCAGCGGUUCUGACGUGCAAAUCGAUCGUCAAAUUUGGGUAUA
RNAcentral lists this ribosomal RNA (821 nucleotides) under Elsinoe necatrix. RNAcentral's name for it is "partial large subunit ribosomal RNA". It matches the Rfam family "Eukaryotic large subunit ribosomal RNA", at positions 77 to 919 of the family's 3401-position model. Lineage: Eukaryota; Fungi; Ascomycota; Dothideomycetes; Myriangiales; Elsinoaceae. The record is from RNAcentral.